AACACCCACUGAUGUCAGCAGGUGAUCAUGUUCCUUCUGCUCACCUAAAGAGGAGGAGGAGGGAGAUGAUCACAUGCUGACAUCAGUGGGUGUU
This is a non-coding RNA of Xyrichtys novacula (pearly razorfish), 94 nucleotides long. The record is from the annotation of a GenBank genome assembly. Lineage: Eukaryota; Metazoa; Chordata; Actinopteri; Labriformes; Labridae.